RNAcentral lists this ribosomal RNA (301 nucleotides) under uncultured bacterium. RNAcentral's name for it is "partial 16S ribosomal RNA". It matches the Rfam family "Bacterial small subunit ribosomal RNA", at positions 509 to 809 of the family's 1533-position model. The record is from RNAcentral.
CAGUCGCCACGGUAAUACGGAGGGGGCUAGCGUUGUUCGGAAUUACUGGGCGUAAAGCGCACGUAGGCGGUUAUUCAAGUCAGAGGUGAAAGCCCGGGGCUCAACCCCGGAACUGCCUUUGAAACUAGAUGACUAGAAUCUUGGAGAGGCGAGUGGAAUUCCGAGUGUAGAGGUGAAAUUCGUAGAUAUUCGGAAGAACACCAGUGGCGAAGGCGACUCGCUGGACAAGUAUUGACGCUGAGGUGCGAAAGCGUGGGGAGCAAACAGGAUUAGAUACCCCCGUAGUCCCUGUCUCUUAUAA